Molecule: ribosomal RNA, 492 nt
Filed under: Macropodus opercularis (paradise fish)
Lineage: Eukaryota; Metazoa; Chordata; Actinopteri; Anabantiformes; Osphronemidae
Description: partial 12S ribosomal RNA
Rfam family: Bacterial small subunit ribosomal RNA
Source: RNAcentral
UAAACAUGAUAGACUAUACACUCACUAUUCGCCAGGGUACUACGAGCAUCAGCUUAAAACCCAAAGGACUUGGCGGUGCUUAAGAUCCACCUAGAGGAGCCUGUUCUAGAACCGAUAACCCCCGUUCAACCUCACCCUCUCUUGUUUUUCCCGCCUAUAUACCGCCGUCGUCAGCUUACCCUGUGAAGGAAAAACAGUAAGCAAAAAUGGCAAAGCCCAAAACGUCAGGUCGAGGUGUAGCGUAUGAGAGGGGAAGAAAUGGGCUACAUUCUCUAAACUAGAGAAUACGGAUAAUACACUGAAAUGUGUAUUUAAAGGAGGAUUUAGCAGUAAGCGGAAAAUAGAGAGUUCAGUGAAACCGGCCCUAAAGCGCGCACACACCGCCCGUCACUCUCCCCAAGCUCUUAAUUUAAAAUAAUUAAAACACUACAAAUGCAAAGGGGAGGCAAGUCGUAACAUGGUAAGUGUACCGGAAGGUGUACUUGGAAAAAU